This 505-nucleotide ribosomal RNA is filed under the name uncultured Rubrobacterales bacterium. RNAcentral's name for it is "bacterial SSU rRNA". It matches the Rfam family "Bacterial small subunit ribosomal RNA", at positions 8 to 491 of the family's 1533-position model. The record is from RNAcentral. Lineage: Bacteria; Bacillati; Actinomycetota; Rubrobacteria; Rubrobacterales.
AGAGUUUGAUCAUGGCUCAGAGCGAACGCUGGCGGCGUACUUAACACAUGCAAGUCGUACGAGGAUCGUCGGGUUAGCAAUAAUUCGUCGGUUCGAGUGGCGCACGGGUGAGUAACACGUGGGUAGCCCACCCUUGAGACCGGGAUACCCUCUCGAAAGGGAGGCUAAUACUGGAUACGUUCCCUGGGACGCAAGAUCUGGGGAGGAAAGGUGGCGAAAGCUGCCGCUCUUGGAGGGGCUCGCGGCCUAUCAGCUAGUUGGUGAGGUAACGGCUCACCAAGGCUAUGACGGGUAGCUGGUCUGAGAGGACGACCAGCCACACGGGAACUGAGACACGGUCCCGACUCCUACGGGAGGCAGCAGUGGGGAAUUUUCCGCAAUGGGCGAAAGCCUGACGGAGUGACGCCGCGUGGGGGACGAAGGCCUCCGGGUCGUAAACCCCUGUCAGAGGGAAAGAAGGGUGUCGGCGUGAAUAGCGCCGGCAUUUGACGGUACCUCAGAGAGC